Molecule: long non-coding RNA, 3930 nt
Filed under: Olea europaea subsp. europaea
Lineage: Eukaryota; Viridiplantae; Streptophyta; Magnoliopsida; Lamiales; Oleaceae
Source: RNAcentral
CUCUGCUGCGGUUCAUUCGCUCCAAUUACCUACAGUUUGAAUUGAACCUUCCUACUUCAAAUAAACGUGUUACAAAUGCGUACGAUAUAUUUUUCAGAGAAAAGGACUUCAAAUUGAAACUCACAGGAAUACGGAGAAGCUCAUUUUGAGACUAAUAGUUAAAAAAAAUCCGAUUGUUAUCGGAAAUUGACGGGAAAGUAAACGUAAUUCCACUAUUAAUGGCGCCUCCUCAAGAUGGCAAAGCAGCUGAAGUCAAAGAGGAAUCUGUACCUCAACGCCCAAUCUCCGAUGUCGUUUUCAUUAUUGGUACUCCAUUUUUCUAUAUAUAUUUUGAGAUUUUUUUGUGUUUGUUAGUAUGUAUUUAUAUGCUAACUUCUUUGUGUGUGUGUGUGAAUGGUGAAUAGCUAUGAAGAAGGAGGCUUCACCUCUAGUGGAGAAGUUCCAGCUCACCGAAGAAUCCAAUUCUCUGUGGGCCUUCUUUUUUUAUUUAAGCUUUAUAAGUAAUUUAGUUCAGUUGAGAUCCGACCAAAAAAAAAAAAAAACUGAGAAAAAUGAGGAUUGGGAAAAAGUAAAGGAGACUGACUGUCUCGUACAAUUUGUACUGGUGAUCUUUGGAAAGUUUAAGCCUACUGUAGUGAUAAGUGGAAUUUAAUAACGACUCGUUUAUUUAUGCUCAGUCAUUGUUGGAUUUAAAAUAAAUUAAUUGGAAAAGAAUGUGUUUUGUUAUAUUGUUGCCAUUCUACAAGUGGCCGUUACCCUUUUAUGAUUUGUUUUAUCUAUUAUCAUUUUGUGAAAAUGAUGCAGGUUUCCAAAGGGGGUCCCGUGGGUGAGGUACAGUGGAAAAUAUAAAGAUCUGAAUAUCAACAUUGUUUCCCCUGGAAAAGACAUAGUUUUGGGUCUCUCUCUCUCUUUCCUCCUUAAUUCUUGAUGGCAUGUUAUGGAUUUUGAUUUUGUUACGUGAAUUGUUUUCAGUCUCUGGUAUAUGUGUUCACUAUUAAGCCUAAUCUGCUUAUUUCUAGAUAUUUUGUCAUUUUGGCCCUAUUGUGAUGAUAAGAUUCUUUGAAAAGAUUUGAACAUAUUUUCUCCGAAACUAAAUAAAAUUAAGUACCAUGUAGUUAAGAGCGAUCAAUAAACCUUAUCCUUGGGCCAUUCAAUAUUUUUUCAUCCAGGGGUGGCGGUGGGUAGGGGGAUUGGUAUCGGAGGAAUCACUAUGAAAGUGGUUGAUCAUUCUUGAGUAUAUGUUAUUUUUAGUAGAGGAAGAAGGUAUGCAGUCACAUUAAGUUCUGUAACUGGAUUAUGAAUAUUGUGAUGCAUUAUGCAGUUUAAGGAGCUUUGUUGUUAUUUGUUGCCAUUGUUGGUUAGUCACCACAGUGAAUUUCCGACCGCUGUGUUCUUAAUUGUUUCUUUAUCAGGUGUUGACAGCGUAGGCACAGUUUCUGCAUCACUUAUAACUUAUGCUUCUAUUCAAGCAUUGCAACCAGACCUUAUCAUAAAUGCAGGCACUGCUGGAGGUUUCAAGGUAUUAUGAAUGCGGAUAUGAUGGCUUUCAUUUUUUUAUUUUUAUUUUUUAGAUGUGUUGAUCUUCUGAACCUUAUCAUAAUUGUUUAUAUUUCCAUCCUCCUUUUUCCAUGUGGCAUUUAUCGAUUCUGCUGCUGAUAGUUUUUUUCAUAUAUGUAAAAUUUGCCCUGGUUCCUUCCUUUCUUAUUCUUUUAACCAAUUUCUUUAGAUAUUUUCUUUUUCUUUUUCUUUUUCUUUUUCUAUUUUUACUUGUACUUUCUAUUUCCCUCUGUUGUUUGUUGUCUGACUGAUUCUGUAUUUAUAUGGACACCAAAAUGUUAAAACUUCUUUCCUAAAAAGUCAAUGUCACGUUUUCAGUAAAGAAUUUGAUUUAUUUCUUUGUGUUAUGACAUUUUACGCACAUUUUAGGUUCUGGCUUCCUUCGACUUGUACUAGAUGGAAUCUAUUACCUUGCUGAUAUAGAAGUUACAGUCAUAUCUUAAAUAUAGGAUAACAAAGUCACACUUACUACAGAGAGUGUUUAAUCACUCUUUUGUUGCAUAUCUUAUAUUGAUAUCUAGAUUUUACCAGGCAAAAGGUGCUUGCAUAGGUGAUGUAUACCUUGCAUCAGAUGUUGCUUUCCAUGACCGAAGAAUUCCUAUCCCUGUAAGUUUUUCCGUCUUUAUUUUUCCUCAUUUAUUUUUUCCUGGUGCAUGGCUGGGGCAGAUACAAUUAGACAUCAUCAAAUGAAAGCAACACCAAAUUUAUUGGGAACAGAAAACAAGGCUCAAUUUUUUGUUACAUAUACACAUCGUAGGGGAAAAAUAUACUUUAUUGUGUUCUCAAUUUGUUGUUUAUAGGAGCCCAGUAGUAAUGAAAACUGAAGAAGGGUUCCAUUCUUUUAAGGUUGUGGCAUGCACUAAUUUGCUGGUAGAGAAUUGAUUUCUAGAUCACUUUACUAGGUUGGCUUAUGAAGUGAUAUACAUAUUAGACUACUUGAAUUCUAAUAUUUGGUAAAGUUUCUUCUGUUACUGUGAGAAAGUUGUUUUAUGUUUUGUCAGGCUGUCUUUCAAUUUAACUUCUAUGUUACUUUUUUUUUGUCCAUGUUUUAUUGGAAACAAUUGAAGCUUCCAAAUAUAAUAUAUUGUUUAUAUUAAGAAAAUAUAUGUAGAAAUUUAGUGGCAAUUACGCCAUGAGUCUAUUGCAUUACUAAUGGUAAGAAUUCGAACAUCUCAAAUUUGGGAAGUCACGGCGAUAGAGCAAGUCAUUGAAUGUCCUAGCUAAUCCUUUACAUUGGAUACCUCGUAGUAUUGCUGGUGUCCAAAAGACCUUUGCUAGAAUGGAUCAGUUUGCUGGAGUUUAUCCAGUUGUUUUAUGCUCGUUAUGUACUAGUACUUGUGCAUCUUGAUCUGUUCUUCGCAGUUUAACUUCAUUGUUAUCCAGUUACCUCCACUUUACCGGUUAGGGUUGGGCAAAACUUUCGAACCGAACUGUACCCGAACCGAGCGGUUCUUAUUAAAUUAAAUACCCAAACGGGUAACCGAAUCGAGAAUUGAGGGGUUCAAUUUGGUUCUCGAUUCUAGAUCAAUAAUUGAAUAACCGAAUAAGAACCGAAUUUUCCUAAUUUUUUAAAUUUAUUUAUUUUAAAUAAGCCAAAUUAUUUUAUUUUUUCUAAAUAAAUUUGCUAACUAGUUUUUUUAGCUCAACCCAAAAAUAUGAUUUUCCUAUCUCUAAUUUUCAGUCCAAGUCCAACUUACAAGUCCAACUUAAAUUAAAUUGACCCAAUUUUUAUCCAAAUAUGUUAUUUUACUAUAAUGUCGUUUCUACCAUUCUGGAGAUAUUGAAUUGAAACUCGAUAACGUCUCUCUUAAUUAUUAUGAGCUUGCUAUCUUCCUCUUCUUGUGAUUUUAACAAUCAAAAUUAUGAAGAGCUCAACAAAGAUAAACAUAAAAGAUAUACAAGAUUGGACUACGUUAUUUUGUAAGAGCUAAGAUUGAACAUGCUUUGUAAAUAUUAAAAAAAUUAAUUAUAGUACAGAACUUGAAAAUCGAACUGAACUGAAUGGAACCAAAUCCGAACGGUUCCAUAAUUAAAUUUGGACUCGACGGUUCUACUUACUAAAUACCCGAAAAUUUCGGGACCUAUUCGGUUCUCGUUAGAACAGAACCGAAUCGGACGAUGCCCAACCCUAUUAUCGGUUAUAUACAGGUCAUUUACUAUCUAUUUGAAGCAGUAGUCGUCUGCACCCAAAAAUGUUUAUCUAUGUCUACAACCAUAUAUCGAGUUCAUUUACUUUAAGAUUAAUGUGAAUCGUGCUAUUGUUUUGGAUAACAUCUUAACCUUAACGUGACUUCUUUCAAUCUGCAGGUAUUUGACCUGUAUGGUGUAGGCACACGACAAGCGUGCUCAACCCCCAAUCUUGCGAAGGAGCUA